GUAUUUACUUUGGCAGCACAUAUACUAAAAUUGGAACAAUACAGAAAAGAUUAGUGUGGUCCCUAUGCAAGGAUGACAUGCAAAUUUGUGAAGUGUUCCAUAGUUUU
Small nuclear RNA from Meriones unguiculatus (Mongolian gerbil), 107 nucleotides. NCBI's taxonomy places the organism in Eukaryota, Metazoa, Chordata, Mammalia, Rodentia, Muridae. The record is from Ensembl.